GAAAUUGUGGGGGGUCAAUUUUUUCUCAUUUCAGAUUUCAGAAAUUAAAAAAAUUAUUCUUCAAAUAUUUUUUUUUUUCAAAUUUCAAAUAUUGAAAAAUUUCAAGAAGAAAUCUUUAAUUGCACAGUAUGGCGCAUUAGAUUUGUAAAAUCUUUGAUCACAUUUAUUUAUUUGUUAUGCCGAAUCCAACAGUGUAUUUAGAUUUUUAAUUUUGGGUCCAGUUUUCAAAUUGGUCUACAUUAAGGUCCAAAGGGUCCAAAAUUAAACUUUGUUUGAUUUUAGCAAAAAUUGAAUAUAUGAGGUUCUUUGAUAUGCUGAAUCUAAACAUGUAUUUAGAUUUUUGAUUUUUGGCUCAGUUUUCAAGUUGGUCCAAAUUGGGGUCCAAAAUUAAACUUUGUUUGAUUUCAACAAAAAUUGAAUAUAUGGGGUUCCUUGAUAUGCUGAAUCUAACCAUGUAUUUAGAUUUUUUAAUUGUGGACCCCGUUAUCAAAUUGGUUCAUAUUGAGGUCAAAAGGGUCCAAAAUUAAACUUUGUUUGAUUUCAUCUAAAAUUGAAUUAUUGGGGUUCUUUGAUAUUCCAAAUCUAACCGUGUAUUUUGAUUUUUAAUUUUGGGUCCCGUUUUUUAAAUUGGUCUACAUUAAGGUCCAAAGGGCCCAAAAUUAAACUUAGUUUGAUUUUAACAAAAAUUGAAUUCUUGGUGUUCUUUGAUAUGCUGAAUCUAAACAUGUGUUUAGAUUUUUGAUUAUGGGCCCAGUUUUCAAGUUGGUCUAAGUUGGGGUCCAAAAUUAAACUUUUUUUGAUUUCAACAAAAAUUGAAUAUAUGGGGUUCUUUGAUAUGCUGAAUCUAACCAUGAAUUUAGAUUUUUUAUUUGUGGGCCCUGCUAUCAAAUUGGUUCAUAUUGAGGUCAAAAGGGUCCAAAAUUAAACUUUGUUUGAUUUCAUCAAAAAUUGAAUUAUUGGGGUUCUUUGAUAUGCCAAAUCUAACCGUGUAUUUAGAUUUUUAAUUUUAAGUCCCGUUUUUUAAAUUGGUCUACAUUAAGGUCCAAAGGGUCCAAAAUUAAACUUAGUUUGAUUUUAGCAAAAAUUGAAUUCUUGGGGUUAUUUGAUAUGCUGAAUCUAAACAUGUGUUUAGAUUUUUGAUUAUGGGGCCAGUUUUCAAUUUUGUCCAAGUUGGGGUCCAAAAUUAAACUUUGUUUGAUUUUAACAAAAAUUGAAUAUAUGGGGUUCUUUGUAAGCUGAAUCUAACCAUGUAUUUUGAUUUUGGACAUUGGACCAUAAUAGGUAAAUUAAAAAAAUUCAAGUUCUUAGACCACAUUCUUUCUGUGUCAGAAACCUCUGCUGUGUCAAAUAUUUAAUAACAAUCCAAAUUCAGAGCUGUAUCAAGCUUGAAUGUUGUGUCCAUACUUGCCCCAACUGUUCAGGGUUCGACCUCUGCAGUCGUAUCAAGCUGCGCCCCAGCGAAGCAUUUUAUUUGGCCUUCUGAAAAUAUCCAUUCAAAUAAUAAAAAAGAAGAAGCCAUUUCACUUGGGGUUUUUGAAAUUGGUGUCAUUUACAAAUGUAUAUAAAAUCCUCCAAGUGACACAAGUAAUUCCAAAGUAUGUAGAAAUUAAAUAAUAGUUUAAAAAAAUAUUUUGAGUUAGCUCAUAUGCUUGAGUUCAGAAUAGAUUGAUAUAAACAAAAAGUUGACAGAAAUGAAAAUUAUUUGUUAUGGUGCAAACAGGCAAGGCACAUCUCUCUGUUUCAACAACUUACAAUAAAUGUGUUAAAUGCUACAACAUUGAAUACUGUGGAGUCAUUUUAUUUUUGGUGGGUACCAAUUUUCAUGGAUUGAGGGAAAAUGGAAUUUGUGUAAAUUAUUUGAUUUCAUGGUUUUUGGCAAAGUCUGCAUACAAACCUAUUAAAAUAUGUACUUCUUAAAAGAUUUAAAUUCGUGGUACACCUUUAGGCUCAAAAUCCAAGAAAACUGGUUCUCCACAAGUGAUAAUGAAUCCACAGUAUCAGAAAUCAAGGGGUUCUUUUAAUAAAACAGAAUAAUAGUUGUAUCCUGCUUAUUGUACUGUAUUUGCCAGCUUUACACCCAAAUGUUAUAGUUUUGAAAAUCUUAUUCUUAAAUGUCUAUCAAUCUGUCAUUAUUAUGAUAAAUUGAAACUUUCAUUAUGCUGGUAGCUUUUUUAUGCACAAAUACCAGCAAAUGAAUAUUUAAGAUAAAGUUAAAACAUGUUAUUGGUAUAUAUUUUUGUCACUCUCAACAUAUUGGAGGGAACAAUUUUUUUUUCAUCAAAUAUUAAUUUAACUCAAUUCACUUUUUGAUGAAAAAUUAUUUGAUUUGUUUUGAAAAUAUAUAUUUGCUGAAAAUAUUAUUGACAGUUACAAAGAAGGGUGAGCAUCAGAAUUUGCUAAACAUUUCUAGUUUGUAAUGAGUAUCAAAAGGAGCUAUGUUCACUAAUGUAUAGUUAUAUAUAUCUGUUUAUUUAAUAUUGUAUAUCAAAGACUCUCUAGAUGUAGUUAAUUUGUAUAUGUACAGUGUACAAAGGAAGCAAAAAGUAAUCAGUUAGGCAGCUUUAUUGUACCGGUGGGGAAAAUGUUAUAAUAUUAUUUUUGAAAAGGUCCCUAAGAACUUUUAACUUUGUAAUCCCUCUCUCUUAAGAGCACAUUUAAGGUAUCAAAUCUUUUAACAAAUUUUGUGGCAAUAUUAAAUAUAUAUACUGGGUAAUGUUAAUAUUCUUCAAAUGAUUUGAAGGAGCAUAAAAUGCCUCUUAUUUUAACUAAUUAGGUUUUCUCUCCUCUAAAAGACAUCUUUUAAUUAAUUCUUUUCCUUAAGUUUAUUUGAAAAAAAAGAUAAAACAACUUUUGAAUGUAUUGUUUCAAGUUUCUGAGCAGUGUUUUGGUCCAAAAACAUAAAACUUAAUUUGCUCAAAGCAUUUCCAACUUUGGUGGUACCUGUAGAUCGCGUUGAAAAUGCGUUUUGAGUUAGCUAAUGAAUGAAAUAUGUGCUAGGUGAGGGAUUGAUACAGACUUUUGGUUAUUCCAGGAAUGAAAACACUUUCUAAGUAUUUUCUGAGAAGUAAACAACAUAAAUGCUAUAAAACACCUAAAAAGACAGUAUAGCAAUGUUUUGAAAAUUAAUUUGUUGAAAUUGUACAGGAAUGUAGAAAUAUCCUUUCAUUUAAUAUGUGUCAAAGAACAAUAGAUUUAUGAUACAUGUAUAUCAUUACCUAGGUUGUUAAACUUUUUUUCCCUGGUAUUUUAAUAAUUUGUGGUUCCAAAUGACUUUUAAUUUAUCUUAUUUUUUAUCAUUUAUAGAAUCUUAAAAGUAGAUUAUGUUAUAUUAACAUAUUGAACUACAGUAAUAUCCAAAGGCUAUAAUGCUUUUUUAAUUGCAAAAUACUUUAGAUAUGUUUUGCAAGAUCUUUUUAUCUCCCUUUUUGUAAUGCAUUUAUAAUGAGGAUAACAACAAUGUUUGUUAUGUCAUCAAAAGGAUAAAUAAUUAAUUUCUGAGUAUUUCCAUAUGUAUAUGAGGAAAUGAGAAAAGUCAUUUAUUCUGUCUUUAUUUAGUAGUUUUUUUUGCAGGAACCAAUUUUUGCAGAUUGAGGAAAAAUUGUACUUUUGUGGAUGAUAUUUGUUUAGGGAUUUCAGUUUUUACCAUGUCAUUUGUUAAGGUUAGCUUCAAAAUUGGGGCAUAUUUUUAUUUAUCAAUCACAAAGGUAUAACCUGAUCUUCAUCUGUUGCAAGAAUAGAACAUGAGCAUUAUCAUGAUUACUACAAUGGUACUAUAUGUGAAGUUCUUGUGACAUAACUUUAUGUUUUAACUGUUAAUAGAUUCUGUGAUAGUUGUUUCUUGUUAAUAUUGUGGUUAUUUAGACUUUUUUCAUUGUCAAUAUCAUUUUAUUGUUUAUAUUGUGACAUUGUAUUUUAAAUGUUAUGCAAACUAAUAAAUCUCUGAUUUUUAUUUUACAAUCUGG
This is a long non-coding RNA of Mytilus californianus (California mussel), 3962 nucleotides long. RefSeq lists it as uncharacterized. Lineage: Eukaryota; Metazoa; Mollusca; Bivalvia; Mytilida; Mytilidae. The record is from RefSeq and is a predicted model, not a curated record. The transcript has 2 exons.